UACGUAGGUGGCAAGCGUUGUCCGGAAUUAUUGGGCGUAAAGCGCGCGCAGGCGGUCGUUUAAGUCGAAUGUGAAAGCCCCCGGCUUAACUGGGAGGGUGCGCCGAAAACUGGAAAGCUGGAGUGUGGGAGAGGUAAGCGGAAUUCCUGGUGUAGCGGUGAAAUGCGUAGAUAUCAGGAGGAACACCUGCGGUGUAGACGGCUUACUGGACCAUAACUGACGCUGAGGCACGAAAGCGUGGGUAGCAAACAGG
Molecule: ribosomal RNA, 253 nt
Filed under: uncultured bacterium
Lineage: Bacteria
Description: partial 16S ribosomal RNA
Rfam family: Bacterial small subunit ribosomal RNA
Source: RNAcentral